AGGAAAACCGCGUGAAAUCAACGCGACUACGUUUUUAAUCGCAUCAGAACCGUCCAUUCUCUCACCCACCGACUUAAUCAUAGGCGCCCAUCCUCACCCAUCCCUUCGUAUAUAAACACCUGCGUUUUCUUAAUUCUCUUAAUACUGCAUUGUAGGUAUUUUGAACGCGCUGGUGCAAUGGUUUCGGUCGAGUCUAUCUUUUAGCUAAUCCUACUCUUCCUCUUCCUCACAUUUGUGAAUAUUUGCUUUAAUAGUCUUGUGUUGUUCUCUAUGGUUCCCGAUUUCAAGAUUUAAUCCAUGAUCUAGAACAUUCAAUAUGUUUUUGCUGUGAAUUACUAUCUGAUUCCUUUUAUAGGACUGUAUUCGAAUUUGUGGAUUGUGGAUUUGCCUCGGGGAGAAGAACUACGUGAUGAACGUAUGAACGGGUGUUAUUGGGUGUUAUUCUAGUUUGCUAGGUUGGAAUUAUGAUUUUCUCUACUUAGGUGUGUCAAAUUCUUCUGGAUGAUCUGUUAGCUGAAUUGAAGAUCUUUUUCGAUCUGGAAGUUUGGUUGAGCUCAUGAUCUGUUCUGUUAUCGUACUGUGGUGUUGAACAUGACCUCUUUUUUUCACGGAACUGUUUUCCUGAUUGUUCAGGCGAGAUCUCGAUUGUGAAUGCUUGCUUUUUGUCGGUGAUUGAAGGAUGAAUUCUGCUUCUUCCUAGAUCCAAAGAAACUGAGAACUCUCUUUAUCCUAGCUUGUUCUGAAACUUCUCCUAUUCUUCAACUAUUGUUCUUAUGUGUAGAGAUUUAGCUACGGUUUUGCUUGUCGAACAUGGCUUUUCUUUUACGGGACUGUUUUCCUGAUUAUUCAGGCGAUCUAGAUUGUGAACGGUUGCUUUCUGUUGGUGAUUGGAGGAUGAAUUCUGCUUUUGCCUAGAUCCGAAGAAACCGAGAACAUAUCCUUGCUUUUUUUCCCCCUAAAACUUCUAUUCUUCGACUGUUCUUAUCAUUAUUAUUGUAGGGGGAUUUAGCUUCGGUUUUGCUUGGUUUGCAGUGUAUUUGGGAGGUUGGAGAUUUGUAGAUUGGAGAUAUUGGAAAGAAUUUUCGGCAAUUUUCGAUGACUAGAUAUCUAAUUUCGUAAAACAGAACAAAUCCUCUACUUUUACCCUUUUUUAGAUUCAAUUAUAAAUAAAUUAUAAAUCAUGCAUUUGAAUUAAAAUGUGAAUCUAUAUUCUAUGCAGCGUUGUCCAUCUUGAAGCGUGGUUGUUUUGAGUGCGACACAUACAGAGGAUAGAGAUCAAGAACAGUUUUUCUAAACUUUCUUUCCCUGCAUUUUUUUCCCAACAUACUGAGCUAGCAUUAUGAAUUAAAUGUGGAUGUGUUUCCUAUGCAGUUUUGUCUGAUCCUGGUCGAUAUGUUUCUUGCACUUGCCUGGUUCAUUUGUUUUAAGUUUUGCUCUUUUUUUUUUAAAUUUAAAUAAUUAGCUUUGGUUCUCUUUGUUGUUUCCUUUAUAAUUCUGUCUUUCUUGGAAAUCGGUUUAUGUUUCUCUUUUUUGCCUUAGGAGCCAAUUGAAGGAUAUGGGAUUGCACUUAGGCGAUGUGUCCAAGAUUCUGAAAUUGAUAAUUCCCUUCUAACAUAUGCAUCAAUUUUUUUUAGGAUUAAAUAAUAGUUUGAUUACGGAGUUAUCUUGUUUAUGGCCUGCAAUGCUUUAAAUUGAUUGCAGAAAUCUGGAAUAAUGGAUAGAAGAUAUAUGGCAGGAAGGCUCAAAAUAAUACAGGCUCAUAAUCUGAUUAACUUUCCUUUUUUAACUAUCUUGCGUUAAUGGUCAUGCAAAAUUAAAUUUGAACUUGUUCUCUUGCAGUGUAUCGUUUUGGUCAAGUAACAUUGUACCUGGAGUUUGGACGCACUGGAUCUCUUGUCUCUUGGUUUUUUAUUUUUUUGCUAGUUCAUAUGCAUAAGUAUGCAGAUAUCAAUUGAAUUUCGUUUGUUCAUUUGCAGUGUUGUCUUCCAAUCAUACUUUUGGCAACAGGCUUUCAUGUAUAAUGGUGACUUCUAACUGGCCUUAGUGUUCUCUGUGUCUAGCGUCUUGUUCCUGUGCAUUUCAUUUCUUUGAUGUUCUUCAUAUUGCUUGGGGGAGGAUUGUUCUUUGAUUUGUUUUUCCUGUGAAUUUUUAUAGAACUAUUAUUGGAUUUGUGGAUUUUGGAUUUACUUAGCUGCUGAUCAAGAUGCUUCUUUCUGGAUUCGAUAAUCUUGGGAAUGGUUACAGUUUCACACAGUUUCACAGGGAAAAGAACCAGGCGAUGAACAUAUGGACAGGGUGCUAUUCUUGUUUGCUGGAUUGGAAUUGUGAUUUUCUCUCUUCAGGUGUAGCGAAUUAUGUGGAUGAUGUGUGUGUUGGCUUCAUUUAAGAUCUUUCUUGACCUGGAAGUUUGGUUGAGCUUUUCUAAUUUGAUGAUCUGGUUCAGGGAUAGUUGUGUUGUUUGAACAUGGCUUUUCUUUCAUGCAGCUGUUCUGUUGAUUGUUAAGGUGACAUUAUCUGGAUUAUGAAUGCUCGCUUUUUUGUGUUGGGGUUUGGAGGAUGAAUUCUACUUUUGCCCAGAUCUGAAGAAACUGAGAACUCUCUGAAUCCUUGUUUUUUCUGAAAAUUCUCCUAUUCUGUACUGUUCUUAUUCCCGGAGAGAUUUAGAUUUGCUUGUUUUUGCUUGGUUUGCAGUGUAUUUGGGAGAUUGGGAAAUGGGAAUUGUAGAUUGGAGAUACUGGAAAGAAUAUUUUGCAAGACCCGAGGACCAUAUAUCUAAUUCCAUAAAAGCAAUCUGAUUCUCUAUACAUUUUAUUUCCUUGAUCAUUUAACUAAAUAUUAAAGCAUGCAUUGUGAAUUAAAAUGUAGUUAUAUUCUAUGCAGCAUUGUAGCCUGGUUGUUGAGCACGAAGCAUACCGUGAAUGGAAUCUAGUUUCCUAAAAACAGAUUUUCGAACUCUUCUUUCCUUUUUGUUCAUUCCAACCUACUGUGCUUGCAGCAUUUGAAUUAAAUGUCGUUGGUUUCCCGUGCAGUGUUGUCCAAUCAUGGGUGUUGAGUGCAUCCUGGUGAAAUGCUUUUGCACUUGCCUGGUUCAUUUGUUUAAUUUCGUUUUUUUUAAUUUUAAAUUCGCUACUGUGUUGUUUCCUUUGUUAUUCUCUCGUGCUUGGAAAUCAGUUUUUGUUUCUCUUUUCCUUAGGAACCAAUUGAAGGGUAUGGGAUUGCACCGAGAUCGUUCAAGAUUCCGAGAUUGAUAUGUCCUUGUUAUUCUUUUUUCUUUCUAUCCCCUAAAUAUUAUAAAAAUAACUUGAUUAUAUAGUUGUUUCACGUUGUUUAUGACCUCCAAUGCUUUUCAUUGGUUGCAGUGAUUUAGAAUUUUGGAAAAGGAAGAUAUGAUUUGGAAAAAAAGCUCUGGAAAAAUAAUACAGGCCCAUGAUCUAGAUUAAACAUGUCUUCUCUACUGAAUUUUUCUGCCAUAUUUUUUUUUAGCAUUAAUGGUUUGUGCAAAGUUCAAUUUGAACCUGUUUCCUUGCAGUGUUACGAUCGUUAACAUUGUCCGUGUAACCGAGUUAUAUGUGGAGUUGGUGACUUGUACCUGGAGUUUGAAUGCCCUGGAUCUUUUCUAUUGUCUCUUCUAUUUUCUUUCCAUAUAUUUAGUAUGAACAUGUCAAUUCCUGUUCCUUUGCAGCGUUGUCUACAAUUGGUACUUUUGACUACCAUACUCAUUUAUAUGGUGACUUCUACCUCGGUAUAUUGUUAGUUUUGAGAAUGAUGAUAGGCCCAACCAGUUGUUCCCUCAUCCUAUUUGUUGACACACUUUCAAGAUAGGAGAGUAAGCGUUCAAUGAGCACUUAUUGGUCGUUGUUGACCAUAUAUGCUGACAGUAUCAUAUAUACUCAAUUUUGCGUUUUAUUUCUUUUUAUUUUUGGCCGAGCACAUAAAAGUUAAUGGAUUUGAUCACGCGAAUUGUAUAGUUGUUUAUGCUUCCAGCUAUCUCUCAGCAGAAUCACGCAGUGCAUUGGUUGUUGGGGGUGAUCAGUUGUCAGUCUCACUAAUAAGGAUAAGAGGAUUUGAUUUUAGUUCAACUUUUUUUGGUGGUGUUUUCUCUUUGGAUGAAGUAUUGGAAUUUGAAUCGUGAACAUGCUUUUGUGCAGUUAAACGACCAGAGUGUAUUGGAGAUUUACUUUGGGGGUUCAGGAGCAAGAUUUUGUCUACACACAGUUUUCCCAACCAAACUUUGCCAUUUGUUCUCACCUUGUGUUUUUGUUUGAUCUGGUCUUCCAUCAGUUUGACAAGCUGUUUCUUUCAUUUAUUUUUGUUUCUUUCAUUUAUUUUCAGCUCUCUGCAUACGCGUUUGCCAUAAUUGGUCACACUACCCUUAAUUGGAGAAUUUUGCUCAACGCCGUGAGGGGUCUGAAUAAUGUUAAACUGUUAUGGAUUGUUGUGAUGGCCUUAAACUGUUCUUGCAUGUGAAGUAUUGAAGGAUUUUCUGUUAUUAGGUUUUGUCUUGAUUUUACUUCAGUACUAAGGGGAACUGUAACCAUGAUGUCUUUGAUUUCACUUUCUAUUAGGGAAAUUGCAAUUAUGAUUUUGUUUUUUGUGCAUAACUAGAAACUUCUUUUCUGUUCAUCUCUUUCACUCUUCCAUGUUGAGUACCAUGUGUUUGGCAGCAUCUGGAAAUUGUAAGUCGACUUUGAAAUAUUGAAGGACCUCUUCUUGGAUGGUUUAACUAGGAUUUUGUACCUAAAUGAGUGACUUCUGAAUGGUGGUUUUCAAAUUUUCGUCCUAUAGUUUUUAAAGCUUCCCCUUGUCUGGAUUUUCAACUUAAUCUCGUCUUUUGUUCUAUGUUUGGCUCUCUUAUAUAUUCCGCAGGAACAGGGAUUUGUAUUUGGACUUGGGUAUUGAAGGACCUAAGCAUAACUGGUGACUGGUUUUUCUGGAUCUUCACCUUAAUCUCUUUUGUUUUUCUACGGUUCAGUGUCUUAUGUUUGGCAGGAGCAUGGAUUUGCAAUUGGACUUUCUAUGGGUUUUAAAUCUUCAACCUAAACAUCACUUUGGAGUACUGAAGGAUUUAAGUAUAAUUGGGACUGUUUUUAAAGCUGCUGCAUUUUUGUUUGGAUUUUCAAAAAUUUUCUCUUUCGUUUGGCCGGAUAAGGGAUUUGUAAUUGGACUCUGGGUGUUAAGGACGCAAGUAUAACUGAUGACUUUUAAUUGGUUAUUAUUAUUUUUUUUUUUUUGUGGAUUUUCACCAUGAUUUUUUCCAUUCUUCUACGGUUCAGUGUCUUAUGUGUGGCAGGAGCUGGGGUUCAAUUUGGAGUAUCGAAGGAUUUAAAGUAUAACCGGGACUGGUUAUUAUUACGUUUGUCUUUCAUGUUCAGCAGGUUUAGGGAUUCAUAAUUGAAUCGGAAGUAUCCUCUUCCGAUCUUCUACAUUUGGCUAAUAUAUUCAUCAGGUUUAGGUGUUGAAGGAUCUAAGUGUAACUGGUGACUUCUAACUGGUUAUUAAAACUUUUUUUUGGGUUUUUAUCUCUCUCUCUUUUGUUCUUCUAUGGUACUGUUGUGUUUGGCAGGGAUUUGCAAUUGGAAUUUAAAUGUUCAACUCAAUGUCACUUUGGAGUAUUGAAGGAUUUGAGUAUAACUGGGUCGGGUUUUUAAAGCUUUUGUUUGGAUCUAAUAUUAAAAGCUUUUUCUUUCUUUGGAUUUUCAACUUGACUUUUUCUCUUUCUCUCUUCUAACAUUUGGCACUCAUAUUCAGCAGUAUCUGGGAUCUGCAAUUGGAUUUUGGUCUUGAAGACCUAAGUAUAACUGGUGAUUUUUAACUGGUUAUUAUAAUUUUUCUGUAUUUUCACCUUAAUCUUGUCCAUUUUUCUAGUUAUAUUUGGCAGGAGCUGGGAUUUGCAUUUGGAUUUUAAAUGUUCAAUUUAACAUCUCUUUCGACUUCCUAUGGGUUUUAAAUAAUUCAGCUUACCAUCUCACUUCAACUUAACCUCUCUUUCGACUUUCUAUGGGUUUUAAAUAUUCAGCGCACCACCUCAAUUCCUUCUAUGGUUUUAAAUAAUCAGCUUAGCAUCACUUUGGAGUAGUGAAAGAUUUACAGCACAACUGGUGACUUCUACCCCCAACACCAUACAGAACAAAAAAAAGAAUACACUAGAACCACUCACGUCUAUUCUACUCUUCUACAUCUGUGAACCGCCCUUUUCUGCUUAUUGAUUGCAUGUCGGUUUUUGUCUGGAUUACUUCUACAUUUAUUUUGAAUGCAGGAUCUUAAGGUGGUCAGAUACACCCGGUUAGACAUGGUCAUUUGUUUUGUGUUAUGAUUAUAUGCUUCUUGGUUUUAAGAUCUCUAUUCAGUUCUUUGUGAUUUGUCAAGUUAGUAGAAUUCUUUGUGAAAAUGCCUCUAAAAUUUUAUAAUGUAGGUUAGCACGGUAAGUAACUGAAGUUUGAAAUGGAAAUGAUGCUCUUAUUCAUCUAUAUUAAUUUUCCUCCUCGGGGGACUUGAUUGCCUCUUAACUUUGCAUGGAAUUUUGUUGUAGCCUCGGGUGAAUUUUGGUGAGGGAAUGUUCUUGUUGCUAGGGAUUUGGAUAUUACCGUGGUAGCAAAGGGUUCAGGAGUUUUUUGUUAUUUAAUAAUUCAUUAUGAAUUACAAAGUUUUUUUUUUAAUCGAGGUUUACUAUCAUUUUGCGAACUUGUUUCUGUGUGGUUCGCGAAUCCCAUUUUUGGCUGAUUACUAUCUUGGGGGAACGAAGAUCACAAUGGCAUUCAGGAGUUGGUAGCUGUUUCUGAAAUAUGAACUUUUCUGAUAUGCCUUUUGUAUUUUUCUCUUGUUUGGAGAAUUGUGGACCAACUUCUGUGCAGUUCGAGUGAGCACUCUUGUAUGCAGAGAAAAGGGUGUUCAGGGUAUGGUUGGGGUGAUUGGUGGUUCUACAGCAGUUAUGGUGGUUUUUUUUUUCCUGGGCGCAGGAUAAUUGGUUUUAAUUCUUUGAUUCUUGUCUCUGUCUCGCAUCUUUAUUGUUAUUUGAUAUCUGUAGUCUGGUGAAGAUACUUUCCAUGUGCAAAUGUAGUGGUUGCUGUAGUAUGCCAUGGUUCAAGUGCACCCCUCAUCUUCUCUAGCAGAAGAAGUAAAAGCAGAACGAUGUUUUUAAGUGCUUUCUGGGAUGCUUGAAGACCUUUUGAAGGUGGAUUUUGCAAUAACUGAUGCGACAUCAUUGAAGAUUAUUGAUGGUUCAGUUCUGUUGCUUAGCUGCUUUGGUGUAUGUGUUCGCAUAGCUCCAAUAUUUUGUCGUCCUCGUGUAUAUGCAUGCUGAUCUAUUCAAAUGGUAUUUAUUCUUGCACGCUGAACUUGAAAUCUGCUGUUUUGACCCGAGUUGCUAUUUGGAUUAUGUUCUUACCUAAUAAAAUUCGUCCGAGUUGCUCUA
Molecule: long non-coding RNA, 7411 nt
Organism: Arachis stenosperma
Lineage: Eukaryota; Viridiplantae; Streptophyta; Magnoliopsida; Fabales; Fabaceae
Exons: 2
Source: RefSeq, a predicted model, not a curated record